AUUGAACGCUGGCGGCAUGCCUUACACAUGCAAGUCGAACGGUAACAGGUUAAGCUGACGAGUGGCGAACGGGUGAGUAAUGUAUCGGAACGUGCCCAGUCGUGGGGGAUAACUACUCGAAAGAGUGGCUAAUACCGCAUACGACCUGAGGGUGAAAGCGGGGGACCGUAAGGCCUCGCGCGAUUGGAGCGGCCGAUAUCAGAUUAGCUAGUUGGUGGGGUAAAAGCCCACCAAGGCGACGAUCUGUAGCUGGUCUGAGAGGACGAUCAGCCACACUGGGACUGAGACACGGCCCAGACUCCUACGGGAGGCAGCAGUGGGGAAUUUUGGACAAUGGACGCAAGUCUGAUCCAGCCAUGCCGCGUGCGGGAAGAAGGCCUUCGGGUUGUAAACCGCUUUUGUCAGGGAAGAAACGAGUUUCUCUAAUACAGAGACUUAAUGACGGUACCUGAAGAAUAAGCACCGGCUAACUACGUGCCAGCCGCCGCAGUAA
RNAcentral lists this ribosomal RNA (493 nucleotides) under uncultured bacterium. Its description in RNAcentral is "partial 16S ribosomal RNA". It matches the Rfam family "Bacterial small subunit ribosomal RNA", at positions 30 to 523 of the family's 1533-position model. The record is from RNAcentral.